GAUGAACGCUGGCGCCGUGCUUAACACAUGCAAGUCGAGCGAGGGAGCACCUUCGGGUGUGAACUAGCGGCGGACGGGUGAGUAACACGUGGGCAACCUGCCUUACAGAGGGGGAUAGCCUUCCGAAAGGAAGAUUAAUACCGCAUAUUAUGGUUUUUCUGCAUGGAGGAAUCAUGAAAGGAGCAAUCCGCUGUAAGAUGGGCCCGCGGCGCAUUAGCUAGUUGGUGAGGUAAGGGCUCACCAAGGCGACGAUGCGUAGCCGACCUGAGAGGGUGAUCGGCCACAUUGGGACUGAGACACGGCCCAGACUCCUACGGGAGGCAGCAGUGGGGAAUAUUGCACAAUGGGGGAAACCCUGAUGCAGCAACGCCGCGUGAGUGAUGACGGCCUUCGGGUUGUAAAGCUCUGUCUUCAGGGACGAUAAUGACGGUACCUGAGGAGGAAGCCACGGCUAACUACGUGCCAGCAGCCGCGGUAAUACGUAGGUGGCGAGCGUUAUCCGGAUUUACUGGGCGUAAAGGAUGCGUAGGUGGAAUUUUAAGUGGGAUGUGAAAUACCCGGGCUCAACCUGGGAACUGCAUUCCAAACUGGAAUUCUAGAGUGCAGGAGAGGAAAGCGGAAUUCCUAGUGUAGCGGUGAAAUGCGUAGAGAUUAGGAAGAACACCAGUGGCGAAGGCGGCUUUCUGGACUGUAACUGACACUGAGGCAUGAAAGCGUGGGGAGCAAACAGG
RNAcentral lists this ribosomal RNA (731 nucleotides) under uncultured bacterium. RNAcentral describes it as "bacterial SSU rRNA". It matches the Rfam family "Bacterial small subunit ribosomal RNA", at positions 28 to 776 of the family's 1533-position model. The record is from RNAcentral.